UCCGCGGUAGCUCAACGGUAGAGCAAUCGGCUGUUAACCGAUCGGCUGUAGGUUCGAAUCCUACCCGCGGAGCCA
This 75-nucleotide transfer RNA is filed under the name Pacificispira spongiicola. RNAcentral's name for it is "tRNA-Asn". It matches the Rfam family "tRNA". Rfam says of the family: Transfer RNA (tRNA) molecules are approximately 80 nucleotides in length. Their secondary structure includes four short double-helical elements and three loops (D, anti-codon, and T loops). Further hydrogen bonds mediate the characteristic L-shaped molecular structure. tRNAs have two regions of fundamental functional importance: the anti-codon, which is responsible for specific mRNA codon recognition, and the 3' end, to which the tRNAs corresponding amino acid is attached (by aminoacyl-tRNA synthetases). tRNAs cope with the degeneracy of the genetic code in two manners: having more than one tRNA (with a specific anti-codon) for a particular amino acid; and 'wobble' base-pairing, i.e. permitting non-standard base-pairing at the 3rd anti-codon position. Lineage: Bacteria; Pseudomonadati; Pseudomonadota; Alphaproteobacteria; Rhodospirillales; Aestuariispiraceae. The record is from RNAcentral.